RNAcentral lists this ribosomal RNA (515 nucleotides) under uncultured bacterium. RNAcentral describes it as "bacterial SSU rRNA". It matches the Rfam family "Bacterial small subunit ribosomal RNA", at positions 25 to 518 of the family's 1533-position model. The record is from RNAcentral.
CAGGACGACGCUGGCGGCGUGCCUAACACAUGCAAGUCGAACGGGGAUUUGUUUCGGCAGAAUCCUAGUGGCGAACGGGUGAGUAACGCGUAGGCAACCUGCCCUCCGGCCGGGGACAACACUCCGAAAGGGGUGCUAAUACCGGAUACGAAGUCUGUGCCGCAUGGUACGGAUUUGAAAGAUGGCCUCUAUUUAUAAGCUAUCGCCGGGGGAUGGGCCUGCGUCCGAUUAGCUGGUUGGUGGGGUAACGGCCUACCAAGGCGACGAUCGGUAGCCGGUCUGAGAGGAUGAACGGCCACAUUGGGACUGAGACACGGCCCAGACUCCUACGGGGGGCAGCAGUGGGGAAUCUUCCGCAAUGGGCGCAAGCCUGACGGAGCAACGCCGCCGUGAGUGAGGAAGUUCUUCGGAACGUAAAGCUCUGUUGUUCCUGACGAACCUCCCCUCUAUCAACAACGGAGGGGACUGACGGUAGGGAACGAGGAAGCCACGGCUAACUACGUGCCAGCCGCAGC